Molecule: ribosomal RNA, 253 nt
Filed under: uncultured bacterium
Lineage: Bacteria
Description: partial 16S ribosomal RNA
Rfam family: Bacterial small subunit ribosomal RNA
Source: RNAcentral
UACGUAGGGUGCGAGCGUUGUCCGGAAUUAUUGGGCGUAAAGAGCUCGUAGGCGGUUUGUCGCGUCGGCCGUGAAAACUUGGGGCUUAACCCCAAGCCUGCGGUCGAUACGGGCAGACUUGAGUUCGGCAGGGGAGACUGGAAUUCCUGGUGUAGCGGUGAAAUGCGCAGAUAUCAGGAGGAACACCAAUGGCGAAGGCAGCUCGCUGGGACGGUACUGACGCUGAGGCGCGAAAGCGUGGGGAGCAAACAGG